AACGAACGCUGGCGGCAUGCCUAACACAUGCAAGUCGAACGAGACCUUCGGGUCUAGUGGUGCAAGGGUGCGUAACGCGUGGGAACCUGCCCUUAGGUUCGGAAUAACUCCCCGAAAGGGGUGCUAAUACCGGAUAAUGUCUUCGGACCAAAGAUUUAUCGCCUUUGGAUGGGCCCGCGUUGGAUUAGCUAGUUGGUAGGGUAAAAGCCUACCAAGGCGACGAUCCAUAGCUGGUCUGAGAGGAUGAUCAGCCACACUGGGACUGAGACACGGCCCAGACUCCUACGGGAGGCAGCAGUGGGGAAUAUUGGACAAUGGGCGAAAGCCUGAUCCAGCAAUGCCGCGUGAGUGAUGAAGGCCUUAGGGUUGUAAAGCUCUUUUACCCGGGAUGAUAAUGACAGUACCGGGAGAAUAAGCUCCGGCUAACUCCGUG
RNAcentral lists this ribosomal RNA (433 nucleotides) under uncultured bacterium. RNAcentral's name for it is "partial 16S ribosomal RNA". It matches the Rfam family "Bacterial small subunit ribosomal RNA", at positions 29 to 507 of the family's 1533-position model. The record is from RNAcentral.